CUUGGUCAUUUAGAGGAAGUAAAAGUCGUAACAAGGUUUCCGUAGGUGAACCUGCGGAAGGAUCAUUAUUGUGCAACCGAGGUGCAAGGGCUGUCGCUGACCUUCAAGGGUUGUGCACGCCCAAAGCACUCUCACACAUCCAUCUCACCCCUUUGUGCAUCACCGCGUGGGCCCUCCUUUGCAGGGGGGCUUGCGUUUUCACAUAAAAACUCAAUACAGUGUAGAAUGUCUUUUCUUUUGCGAUCACACGCAAUCAAUACAACUUUCAACAACGGAUCUCUUGGCUCUCGCAUCGAUGAAGAACGCAGCGAAAUGCGAUACGUAAUGUGAAUUGCAGAAUUCAGUGAAUCAUCGAAUCUUUGAACGCACCUUGCGCCCCUUGGCAUUCCGAGGGGCACACCCGUUUGAGUGUCGUGAAAUCAUCAAAAACCCUUUUCUUUAAAGGAUUUUUGGACUUGGAGGUUCCAUGCUUGCUUUCGCUCUUGAAAGCGAGCUCCUCUCAAAUGAAUUAGUGGGGUCCGCUUUGCUGAUCCUUGACGUGAUAAGAUGUUUCUACGUUUUGGAUUUAGCACUGUCCGUUGGACGCCUGCUCCUAAUCGUCUCUUGGGACAUUGAUGGUGCUUCGGUCACUGCCCAUUUACAUCGGUGGAAGGCCGGGCCCACGUUUAAACCUUUGACCUCAAAUCGGGUGAGACUACCCGCUGAACUUAAGCAUAUCAAUAAGCGGAGGAA
This 732-nucleotide ribosomal RNA is filed under the name Russula sp. 1 RB-2011. RNAcentral's name for it is "eukaryotic LSU rRNA". The stretch from base 261 to 414 matches the Rfam family "5.8S ribosomal RNA". Lineage: Eukaryota; Fungi; Basidiomycota; Agaricomycetes; Russulales; Russulaceae. The record is from RNAcentral.